Molecule: long non-coding RNA, 1244 nt
Organism: Dicentrarchus labrax (European seabass)
Lineage: Eukaryota; Metazoa; Chordata; Actinopteri; Moronidae
Exons: 3
Source: RefSeq, a predicted model, not a curated record
GUGCGUUUUAUUUGUCCUGUGAAAACAAAAGUCAAAAUGAUUUAAUCAGGAACAUUUCUGUAGCAAAGUAGAAGUUGCUUCAUCAUGAAUCUUUUUAACUUGCAAAAUUGAGUUUGUAUAACUUAAAAUGUUUGAUGUUAUACUAAAAUAAAUAACUUAUUGCAUUACUUGGACUCCCAGAUUCUGCAGAAGAGGUGAGAGACCUUUCAGAAGCUUGUUUAUGGCUACAAAAGGAUUGGUGGAACAAGACUCUAUUUGUUCUUGAAGUUUGGAGGAUCAUCUCUGCAACCAGCAGGAUCAACAACUACACCUCCUCGCCGUUGGGCGUCAGAAGAACGGGACCGACAGCUUCUACAUCACCAUGGAUUAGCAUCUCAUUUCAUACCAGGCAAACCUUCAGUCCAUUUGAUGAACAUUGUAAAGCACAUUUUGCCUUUAAUUUGUAUGAUUUAUAUGACAAUAAGAUUGUGCAUUGUUUUAUACACGAAAAAUGUAAAAUAACUGUUGUUUUAGAAAAUGAUUGAGAUAAUUAAUAUUGACAUUUUUUCAGUGUAGAUUUUACACUUAACGGAGGUAAAAUUAACUCGUAAAAGUAAAAAAUGUAACUGAGAGCAGUGUUCUGUUGUUCAGUCUCUAACUGUGGAGAGUGUGGAGCUCUAUAAACCCUGGAAAAGUUCAACACUGGGCAACACUUGCUGUGAACGUAACUCGUCGUUUCCCCCAGAUCUAUAAAGUCCAAAGAUCAAUAAAGUCCAAAGAUCAAUAAAGUUCAAAGAUCAAUAAAGUCCAAAGAUCAAUAAAGUUCAAAGAUCAAUAAAGUUUAAAGAUCAAUAAAGUCCAAAGAUCAGUAAAGUUUAAAGAUCAAUAAAGUCCAAAGAUCAAUAAAGUCCAAAGAUCAGUAAAGUUUAAAGAUCAAUAAAGUCCAAAGAUCAAUAAAGUGGGAGUCAAACUGAAAGUGUUUAUUUUACUGAGCAGCAGCUGUUUCUCUUUAAGAGCGGGAAAACCUGACAGCACUGAAAUAGACCCGCGGGUCGGGACCCCUCAGUGGGUCCCCAGACGAUGGACUGAUGGACCAUCAGGAAGCUCCACUGACACCGGAUCUUAAUAUCUGUGUUUAGUGAAGGUCUUAAAGAGCCGACAGUUCUGUUGGUUCCAUAAGGUGAGGAAGGUUUCAGCCUCCUCAUCGCUGCACUGUAAAACUACACUGUAAACUACACUGUAAAACUACACUGUAAACUACACUG